UUUUCCUUUCUCAGUAAGUCAGUUUGCUCUGGCCUUCUCUCUUCCUCUCUUCUACUUUCUGUUUUUCUGCACUCUUCUCCCUCUUUUCUCUGCACCAUUCCUUCCCUUCUUCCUCCAUCUGCCCUUCCCUCUUCUGCUGUUCCGUCUGUUCUCCUCGCCCUCUCUUUCUUUCCCUUGCCAUUUUUAGAUCAGCUCUCCUUACGCGUAUCCUCUCUUCUGUUUUGCCCUCUUUCUUCCCCCCCUCUCAUUCAUCACUCUUCUGUUCUUCCCCCUUACAAGCUCCUCUCUUCCCUUUUUUCUUUGUUCUGCUCGAUCUUUUCUCUCCUCUCCUUCUCUGCUCUCCUCUUUAUUGUCCCUGCUCCUCUCUCUGUCCUCCACUUUUCCCUUCUUUCUUCUCAUUUAUUCACCUUUAUAUUCCCAGGGAGGACUGCUCAGGAGACUACAGGAACGUUCUGCUGAAGCUCUGUGGCAGUGAGGAUUGAAGGAUUCCUGGUGUACGUCCCGCGUUAUGGGAAGGAGGGGAUCAUAAGGAUUUCUCUCAGGUGUUUGUAACUGUUGGUGAAUAACGCUCUGAAGGCAUCACAGACUGCCUGCUUGUCUCUGCAGUGCUCGGGGCUUUUCUGAGCUGCAGGCUCGCUGUCGCCCUGUGGCAUAGCCUUGCAUCUGGUGACGGACUGAAGCUGGAGAAUCCUGGCAGCAGAGGACGCUCCUGCCCCACAGAAGGGCUCACAGCUCCACCGCAGCUCCACCGACCUCAGUGCUGGUGAGGAGGCUGAGAUGCCUCCAAGUGAUGAAUGCAGUGCACCCAACCUUACACCUCGUGUGGUUCACUGUGCGAGGCGACCAGGAAGAAAGGUGGGCACAGGAUAUUUUACAGGUUCUGACUCAGGUUCAGAGAUUUUAAGUUUACCGUCUGGAAUUAAAGCCUUCUUCAACUGCCUGUUCUGCCACCUGAUCCGCCAUCUUAUCUCCAGUUUCCUGUACAGUGCUACCUUUCUGGUGUCCUUUACAGAGUAUAAUAGCCAUGCUCUUUGGUAGAUGUACAUCAUACUGAAUGUUUUCCUUGUGUGUGAGCAAUCCUUGCUCUUUCCAGAGGGCACUAUGAGCGUGUUCCACCCCAAAAGCAUGUUUAGCAUCUGACCAUGUAUUUAAGGCUCUUGUCAAGGCAGUUAUUGCAGCCUUCUGAGCCAAGUCCCCACAGGCAAUGGUUGUUCGAUUACCUGGUCAGUAGCAGUUACUGCAUAUCCUGCCUUACGGUUGCCUCGUCUCACAACACUGCUUCUGUCGGAUGAACCCAGGAAUCCUCAGCACUGUCCAAUGGUUCCUCCUGUAGGUCUGGCCGACUGGCACAGUCAGUCUCCAAGCAGUCGCACGCUGCCGGUUUGGAGGUAGUUCUGUGUUGGUGUUAGAAUCAUGGAAUGGCCUGGGUUGAGAAGGACCUCAAAGAUCGUCCAGUUCCAACCCCCUGCUAUGUGCAGGGUCACCAACUGACGGACCAGGCUGCCCAGAGCCUUGUCUUGAAUAAGAUUGUUUUUAGGCGAACAAAAACUUUGGAUCACCUUUCAAAUAC
RNAcentral lists this long non-coding RNA (1570 nucleotides) under Gallus gallus (chicken). The record is from RNAcentral. Lineage: Eukaryota; Metazoa; Chordata; Aves; Galliformes; Phasianidae.